Molecule: ribosomal RNA, 474 nt
Filed under: uncultured organism
Description: partial 16S ribosomal RNA
Rfam family: Bacterial small subunit ribosomal RNA
Source: RNAcentral
CACUCCUGCGGGAGGCAGCAGUAGGGAAUCUUCGGCAAUGGGGGCAACCCUGACCGAGCAACGCCGCGUGAGUGAAGAAGGUUUUCGGAUCGUAAAGCUCUGUUGUAAGUCAAGAACGAGUGUGAGAGUGGAAAGUUCACACUGUGACGGUAGCUUACCAGAAAGGGACGGCUAACUACGUGCCAGCAGCCGCGGUAAUACGUAGGUCCCGAGCGUUGUCCGGAUUUAUUGGGCGUAAAGCGAGCGCAGGCGGUUUGAUAAGUCUGAAGUUAAAGGCUGUGGCUCAACCGUAGUUCGCUUUGGAAACUGUCAAACUUGAGUGCAGAAGGGGAGAGUGGAAUUCCAUGUGUAGCGGUGAAAUGCGUAGAUAUAUGGAGGAACACCGGUGGCGAAAGCGGCUCUCUGGUCUGUAACUGACGCUGAGGCUCGAAAGCGUGGGGAGCGAACAGGAUUAGAAACCCCUAGUAGUCCCAU